GGCCAGGUCCCAUACGAUAGACUUGCUAGUGAAUUCCGCUAGGUCCGGAAGGAAGCAACGGUGUCUAGCAAGCUGUGCGAUGUGGGUAAGCCUGGCCCUU
This 100-nucleotide signal recognition particle RNA is filed under the name Moraxellaceae bacterium. Its description in RNAcentral is "signal recognition particle sRNA small type". It matches the Rfam family "Bacterial small signal recognition particle RNA". Rfam says of the family: The signal recognition particle (SRP) is a universally conserved ribonucleoprotein involved in the co-translational targeting of proteins to membranes. Archaeal SRP consists of a 7S RNA and homologues of the eukaryotic SRP19 and SRP54 proteins. In most bacteria, the SRP consists of a 4.5S RNA and the Ffh protein (a homologue of the eukaryotic SRP54 protein). RNAcentral also lists the same sequence under 1 other name. Lineage: Bacteria; Pseudomonadati; Pseudomonadota; Gammaproteobacteria; Moraxellales; Moraxellaceae. The record is from RNAcentral.